Molecule: long non-coding RNA, 1632 nt
Filed under: Homo sapiens (human)
Lineage: Eukaryota; Metazoa; Chordata; Mammalia; Primates; Hominidae
Description: HSALNT0306932
Source: RNAcentral
GCAAACUGCUCUGUGCUCAUGGGUAAGAGAGCUCAAGAGAUAUGUCUUGUUUAGGAAUUAGGAUGGAAACCAGUCAAAUAAUUUUUUUUCAGACACGUUAAUAAUAUAAUGAAACUAGGUUAUUUUACACAUUUCUAACACUCUAUACCAUACACCUGUAUAUAUUUUCUCAACUUUGUAUUUGUCAAUUUGUUUAUAAUUUUGUAACACUUUUUGAUGUUUUAUUAUUUUUUUUGAAAUGGAGUCUUGCUCUGUCACCCAGGCUGGAAUGCAAUGGCACCAUCUCAGCUCACUGCAACCUCCGUCCCCGGGUUCAAAUGAUUCUCCCGCCUCAGCCUCCCGAGUAGCUGGGAUUACAGGCACCCGCCAUCAUGCCUAGCUAAUUUUUGUAUUUUUGUAAAAACAAGGUUUCAUCAUGUUGGCCAGGCUGGUCUUGAACUCCUGACCUCAGGUGAUCCGCCCACCUCGGCCUUCCAAAGUGCUGGGAUUACAGACGUGAGCCACCGCACCCAGCCUUAUUAUUAACUUCCAACUGAGAUAGACUUUUGUAAUAUAUUCUGAUUUUGAACAACCUACAGUAGACAUUUGUAAAAUAUAUUGUUAAUUUAAAUUUUUUUUUAAAAAAUGAAACUUUCCAAAUGUGCUCCAUGGGAGUUAGGCUGAUACAACUAGAAACUACAGAAUGAUUUGGCCUUGGAUUUCACUCAUUAAGAGAGAGCUGCCAACUUGUCCUCACCAACAGGGCAGUGAGUUUGCUUCACUUUUGUUUGGCUAUCAGUACAGAAGUCAAGGCUGUCUGUAGUCUUUGUACAACUCAGGAUAGUUCUUUCAUUUGAGGACAAGGCUGUCAUCUGAUUCUUUCCUGGAAUCUGGAGGUGAUAAAAUAGAUAUGGACUAACAAGAAAGCAAAUUUGCUGCCAAUUUGUACUGACUUCUGAAAAAUACUUUAUCCAUUGUCUUCUUACAUCAGAAUCAACUCCCUAAAUUCUUCAGCACUGGCUUUGUAAACUGGUUUCUGGUCUUUGUUUCUGUCAACUUACCUAUAAAAGGAUACAAAAACUGAAGAACAGAGAGGAGCAGAUACCCUGGAAAGCCGAAAGUUUUAUUGACCAAAGACUGAGUCUCGGAAUGUUUUGAUUGUGGAGUUUAUAGAGUUCAGGCUGAAGUUUUAUAAAAAUAACUUGCAGCAGCAUGGAGGACUGAUGAGAAAGUAGACAGAUGCUGGAAGCAGGAAAACUGAACAGCAGGUCACUGGCCAAGGAGAAUCAAAGAGCUAGAUGCUGAGAAUAAUGCAGCCAUAACGUGAAAUCUUUUUGAGACCACUCACUCUGGGAGAAAGCAACUGGCUAUGUCAUGAGGAAAUUGAAACCACCUAUGGAGAAAGGCCCACAUGGUGAGAAAGUAAAGCCUCUUCCCAAUACCAAAAUUCUGUAAGUCUGCUACGGUGACAUUUCUGGUUAGGAGUCAGAGUGGAUGGGACACUGAGCAAUAAGAAUGCAGAGACAUGAUGGCUGAAGCUGGAGCUUUUCCCUGAAGCAACCACCUGUUGGAAACUUCAUGUUGAAGAUGACUGAAUAAUAAGACAGAGGGGUCUGGGUCCCUGGUGGAUAUUCCAGAUCUGGGUGUUCGUGG